GUAGAGUCUUCUAUCAGCAUUUGGUUCUUCUCUGUCUUCUUCUUCCUUCACACAUCUCCCUCUCGCGCUCUCUCCUCCAUCCCCCAGAGAUCCACCUUCCCCUGCUCGCCUCCGCUCACCUGCGUGCUCCGGCAACAGCCGCUUUCGGACUUCGGUUUCCCUCCACCGGCGCUCCAAAGAACGUUGACGAAUAUACAGAUCAGCUGACCAAGAAUGAAUUAUCAUCACCACCAAAAAAGAUGAAGCACACCCAGGUUAGCAAAAGCAUGCCAGAUUCUACAUAUUCAAAGAAUGACAACAUUUAGUCCAUCAUGAAAUAUAUCAAGGUAUCAUGCUCCAUCACUUUUGGUCCUGAGACUUUUAUGUACAUAUUAACCUUAUGUUUAGACCUUCCUAAAACGGUGUCUAUGCAAGAAAAGCUAGGUCACUUUUGAUCAGUAAACUGUUAUUUGCACCUUGCACACAUAGAAAAGGCUCCAUCACUUUUGGUCACAAGACUUUUAUGUACAUAUUAACCUGAUGUUGAAGCCUUUCUAGAACUAUGUGUGUAUGCAAGAAAAACUAUGUCACUUCUGGUCAGUAGACUUUUAUGUAUAUAUGACUCCACCGUUGGAGCCUUUUUAC
Zea mays is the source of this 624-nucleotide long non-coding RNA. RefSeq lists it as uncharacterized. The record is from RefSeq and is a predicted model, not a curated record. Lineage: Eukaryota; Viridiplantae; Streptophyta; Magnoliopsida; Poales; Poaceae. The transcript is spliced from 4 exons.